CCCACCCUGGGCUCCAUCCCAAGAGGACGUGGUUGGGAAUCACCUGACUCCUGACAAUGUCCCUAUCACAAACAGGCCACCAUACAUAACACACAUAUGAUACGUGGUAACAGACAUGUUUAACAACAGCGUGACAUGGAGUUUAAUCCCAGGGCCCUGUGUACUCUUCCAAGGCCUGGGAUGAUAGAGACUCAAGGGGGCAGUUGGAUGUCAACAUUCCGAGGGCCAGGCAUCUAGUGAAAGCCUCCCACCCUGCCAGAAGACGCACUCCUCAUGAGAAUAACAACAGAGGGGCCCAACUGUCUCACCUGGACACCUGGUCCUGCCACUGCUCAGAUGUCCUUGGAUGUACAGUAGGCAAGGAACAGAGCUUUAUCUUAUGCUGUAUUCUUGUUCCAUACAGAGGCCUGGGAGGAAAGAAUCUGAGGAGGAGAUGGCAGAGGCAGCCACGGACUUGAGUGAGGAUGACUUGGUGGAGAUGGAGGCCAUGCGACCCCCUGAGUCAGAUGGUACCUUCCAACAAGUCACCAACCUCCUGAACAGCAUGGACAACGAGUCAGCAGAGGUGGACACGGCCCCGGCAGGUCCAGACCCGCGGAAGAUCCUGGCCGAGGGAUAAUCACAGAGAAGGCCGCCGCGGACCCUGCUGUGGUGCUGAACGCCCUGGUCCACUGCCUGCGGGCGCUGGAGAUCUCCACCCAGCGCAAGUUCUACAUCACCACGUUCUCCAGGACAUCAUCCAGCAGGAGGGGGAUCUGGGUGAGCAGUGUGUGCAGAGCCUGGUCUCCAUCGCCUCCCAGGAGACGAGGGCGCUCCCUGAGGUGGCGGGGCCCCAGCCCCCUCGUGCCCUCCCUGUGCCAGUGCAGGAGGUGGGGAAGCCUGGGAAGCCCAAGGCCAUUGCGCUGUCACCUCAUGGGGCCCAGGAGUAGGAGGGUGGAGCUGGUGUGGGGUGAGGGGAGGGUAUGAAGGCCCAGCUGAUGGCACCGCACAUGUCCCCUGAA
Fukomys damarensis (Damara mole-rat) is the source of this 1001-nucleotide RNA transcript. It is a transcript of the gene named maestro heat-like repeat-containing protein family member 2A, with no coding region annotated. The record is from RefSeq and is a predicted model, not a curated record. Lineage: Eukaryota; Metazoa; Chordata; Mammalia; Rodentia; Bathyergidae. The transcript has 4 exons.